AUUAAAACGCUGGCGGCAUGCCUUACACAUGCAAGUCGAACGGCAGCACGGGGGCAACCCUGGUGGCGAGUGGCGGACGGGUGAGUAAAGCAUCGGAACGUAUCCUGGAGUGGGGGGAUAACGUAGCGAAAGUUACGCUAAUACCGCAUAUUCUGUGAGCAGGAAAGCAGGGGAUCGCAAGACCUUGCGCUCUGGGAGCGGCCGAUAUCGGAUUAGCUAGUUGGUGGGGUAAAGGCCUACCAAGGCGACGAUCCGUAGCGGGUCUGAGAGGAUGAUCCGCCACACUGGGACUGAGACACGGCCCAGAUUCCUACGGGAGGCAGCAGUGGGGAAUUUUGGACAAUGGGCGCAAGCCUGAUCCAGCCAUUCCGCGUGAGUGAAGAAGGCCUUC
Molecule: ribosomal RNA, 391 nt
Filed under: uncultured bacterium
Lineage: Bacteria
Description: bacterial SSU rRNA
Rfam family: Bacterial small subunit ribosomal RNA
Source: RNAcentral